Molecule: unclassified non-coding RNA, 101 nt
Organism: Cercocebus atys (sooty mangabey)
Lineage: Eukaryota; Metazoa; Chordata; Mammalia; Primates; Cercopithecidae
Rfam family: Y RNA
About the family: Y RNAs are components of the Ro ribonucleoprotein particle (Ro RNP), in association with Ro60 and La proteins. The Y RNAs and Ro60 and La proteins are well conserved, but the function of the Ro RNP is not known.
Source: Ensembl
GGUGGUCUGAAUGCAGUGGUAUUUACGACUAAUUGAUUACGACCAGUUACAGAUUUCUUUGUUCCUUCUCCACUCCCACUGUUUCACUUGACUAGCCUUAA